This 342-nucleotide ribosomal RNA is filed under the name Triticum aestivum (bread wheat). RNAcentral's name for it is "partial small subunit ribosomal RNA". The record is from RNAcentral. Lineage: Eukaryota; Viridiplantae; Streptophyta; Magnoliopsida; Poales; Poaceae.
AUGAAGUGGACGACCGGGGAGAAGGCAUGUGGCGGGGGGCAGGCUCUCAAGUGGGAGACAGAGCUCGCCUCCCCCAACGACGACAACUUCGACCUCAAGUGGAAGUGGGAGGCCAAGUCCAAGCCUGGCGCCGUUGGCAAGGCCAAAACCAAGUGGGGCACCGAGGAAGCCAACAAGGAUGACAAGAAGAAGCCGGCGAGGAAGUGUGUCCAGAGCAAGGAGAUCCCCGUUGGCUGGACGUCCAGAUCGAGACUUCAUUUGAUAGACGCAAUAAUAGGAACUGGCUUCUAUGGUGUACGAGACAAGCUCAAGCACUACAAGGACACAAUGGGCAUUGUCUAA